UACGUAGGGUGCAAGCGUUAAUCGGAAUUACUGGGCGUAAAGCGUGCGCAGGCGGUUUCGUAAGUCUGUCGUGAAAUCCCCGGGCUUAACCUGGGAAUGGCGAUGGAGACUGCGAGGCUAGAGUUUGGCAGAGGGGGGUAGAAUUCCACGUGUAGCAGUGAAAUGCGUAGAUAUGUGGAGGAACACCGAUGGCGAAGGCAGCCCCCUGGGAUGUGACUGACGCUCAUGUACGAAAGCGUGGGGAGCAAACAGG
RNAcentral lists this ribosomal RNA (253 nucleotides) under uncultured bacterium. Its description in RNAcentral is "partial 16S ribosomal RNA". It matches the Rfam family "Bacterial small subunit ribosomal RNA", at positions 524 to 776 of the family's 1533-position model. The record is from RNAcentral.